CCUAAGCAUAAGCCUAAGCCUAAGCCUAAGCCUAAGCCUAAGCCUAAGCAUAAGCCUAAGCCUAAGCCUAAGCCUAAGCAUAAGCCUAAGCCUAAGCCUAAGCCUAAGCCUAAGCCUAACAUAAGCCUAAGCCUAAGCCUAAGCCUAAAA
This 150-nucleotide small RNA is filed under the name Caenorhabditis elegans. Its description in RNAcentral is "Unclassified non-coding RNA cTel3X.2". The record is from RNAcentral. Lineage: Eukaryota; Metazoa; Nematoda; Chromadorea; Rhabditida; Rhabditidae.